CAAUGGUCUUUUGACUAGAUCGGGGUGGCUAACCUGAGCCUGAAAAGGAGCCAAAAUUUACCAAUGUACAUUGCCAAAGAGCCAUAGUAAUAUAUCAAUAGCCCC
This is a non-coding RNA of Chelonoidis abingdonii (Abingdon island giant tortoise), 105 nucleotides long. The record is from RefSeq and is a predicted model, not a curated record. Lineage: Eukaryota; Metazoa; Chordata; Testudines; Testudinidae.